Molecule: ribosomal RNA, 343 nt
Filed under: uncultured Leptolinea sp.
Lineage: Bacteria; Bacillati; Chloroflexota; Anaerolineae; Anaerolineales; Anaerolineaceae
Description: bacterial SSU rRNA
Rfam family: Bacterial small subunit ribosomal RNA
Source: RNAcentral
GGGAGCUUGCACAGGUGCUGCAUGGCUGUCGUCAGCUCGUGUCGUGAGAUGUCGGUUAAGUCCGCUAACGAGCGCAACCCUCGCUGUGUGUUAUAUGUGUCACACGGGACUGCCGGUCUUAAGCCGGAGGAAGGUGGGGAUGAUGUCAAGUCAGCAUGGCCUUUAUAUCCUGGGCUACACACACGCUACAAUGGCCAACACAAUAGGUUGCUAAGCCGCGAGGUGGCGCCAAUCCAUAAAGUUGGUCUCAGUUCAGAUUGUAGGCUGCAACCCGCCUGCAUGAAGAUGGAGUUGCUAGUAACCGCAGGUCAGCUAUACUGCGGUGAAUACGUUCCCGGGGCUU